This 290-nucleotide ribosomal RNA is filed under the name uncultured bacterium. RNAcentral's name for it is "partial 16S ribosomal RNA". It matches the Rfam family "Bacterial small subunit ribosomal RNA", at positions 330 to 637 of the family's 1533-position model. The record is from RNAcentral.
UUCAGCCUACGGGGGGCAGCAGUCGGGAAUAUUGCGCAAUGGAGGAAACUCUGACGCAGUGACGCCGCGUGCAGGAAGAAGGUUUUCGGAUUGUAAACUGCUUUAGACAGGGAAGAAAGAAAUGACGGUACCUGUAGAAUAAGCUCCGGAUAACUACGUGCCAGCAGCCGCGGUAAUACGUAGGGAGCAAGCGUUAUCCGGAUUUAUUGGGUGUAAAGGGGGAGUAGACGGGUAUACAAGUUAGUAGUGAAAUCUAUAGGCUUAACUGAGGAACUGCUACUAAAACUCUA